RNAcentral lists this non-coding RNA (28 nucleotides) under Rattus norvegicus (Norway rat). The record is from RNAcentral. Lineage: Eukaryota; Metazoa; Chordata; Mammalia; Rodentia; Muridae.
UGGUAGAUUUGUAAUUCGCGGUGAGGGC